Molecule: ribosomal RNA, 401 nt
Filed under: uncultured bacterium
Lineage: Bacteria
Description: bacterial SSU rRNA
Rfam family: Bacterial small subunit ribosomal RNA
Source: RNAcentral
GGGGAAUAUUGCACAAUGGGCGAAAGCCUGAUGCAGCAACGCCGCGUGAGUGAUGAAGGCCUUCGGGUUGUAAAGCUCUGUCUUCUGGGACGAUAAUGACGGUACCAGAGGAGGAAGCCACGGCUAACUACGUGCCAGCAGCCGCGGUAAUACGUAGGUGGCAAGCGUUGUCCGGAUUUACUGGGCGUAAAGGAUGCGUAGGCGGAUACUUAAGUCAGAUGUGAAAAUCCCGGGCUUAACUUGGGAACUGCAUUUGAAACUGGGUAUCUAGAGUGCGGGAGAGGAAAGUGGAAUUCCUAGUGUAGCGGUGAAAUGCGUAGAGAUUAGGAAGAACACCAGUGGCGAAGGCGACUUUCUGGACCGUAACUGACGCUGAGGCAUGAAAGCGUGGGGAGCAAACA